UGAAAUCUGAUAAACUGGGGCUUAGAAUAUGGCCUCGAGGUAGAGUGCUUGCCUCCUAUACACAAAGCCCUGGGUUUGAUUCCUCAGCACCACAUA
Perognathus longimembris pacificus (Pacific pocket mouse) is the source of this 96-nucleotide long non-coding RNA. RefSeq lists it as uncharacterized. The transcript has 3 exons. Lineage: Eukaryota; Metazoa; Chordata; Mammalia; Rodentia; Heteromyidae. The record is from RefSeq and is a predicted model, not a curated record.